CCUACGGGAGGCAGCAGUGAGGAAUAUUGGACAAUGGACGGAAGUCUGAACCAGCCAUGCCGCGUGCAGGAAGACGGCUCUAUGAGUUGUAAACUGCUUUUGUACAAGGGUAAAUCUGAAUACGUGUAUUCAGCUGAAAGUACUGUACGAAUAAGGAUCGGCUAACUCCGUGCCAGCAGCCGCGGUAAUACGGAGGAUCCAAGCGUUAUCCGGAUUUGUUGGGUUUAAAGGGUGCGUAGGCGGAUUGAUAAGUUAGAGGUGAAAUGUCCGAGCUUAACUCGGGAACUGCCUCUAAUACUGUUAGUCUAGAGAGUAGAUGCGGGAGGCGGAAUGUAUGGUGUAGCGGUGAAAUGCUUAGAGAUCGUACAGAACACCGGUGGCGAAGGCAGCUUAC
Molecule: ribosomal RNA, 394 nt
Filed under: uncultured bacterium
Lineage: Bacteria
Description: partial 16S ribosomal RNA
Rfam family: Bacterial small subunit ribosomal RNA
Source: RNAcentral